Molecule: ribosomal RNA, 497 nt
Filed under: uncultured bacterium
Lineage: Bacteria
Description: partial 16S ribosomal RNA
Rfam family: Bacterial small subunit ribosomal RNA
Source: RNAcentral
GAUGAACGCUGGCGGCGUGCCUAAUACAUGCAAGUCGAGCGAACAGACGAGGAGCUUGCUCCUCUGACGUUAGCGGCGGACGGGUGAGUAACACGUGGAUAACCUACCUAUAAGACUGGGAUCACUUCGGGAAACCGGAGCUAAUACCGGAUAAUAUAUUGAACCGCAUUGUUCAAUAGUGAAAGACGGUUUUGCUGUCACUUAUAGAUGGAUCCGCGCCGCAUUAGCUAGUUGGUAAGGUAAAGGGUUACCAAGGCAACGAUGCGUAACCGACCUGAGAGAGUGGUCGGCCACACUGGAACUGAGACACGGUCCAGACGCCUACGGGAGGCAGCAGUAGGGAAUCUUCCGCAAUGGGCGAAAGCAUGACAGAGCAAGGCCGCGUGAGUGAUGAAGGUCUUCGGAUCGGAAAACUCUGUUAUUAGGGAAGAACAAAUGUGUAAGUAACUAUGCACGUCUUGACGGUACCUAAUCAGAAAGCCACGGCUAACUACGUG